RNAcentral lists this non-coding RNA (30 nucleotides) under Homo sapiens (human). Lineage: Eukaryota; Metazoa; Chordata; Mammalia; Primates; Hominidae. The record is from RNAcentral.
UGGGAACGAGAAGACACUCAUGUAGGAGUC